This 715-nucleotide long non-coding RNA is filed under the name Homo sapiens (human). Its description in RNAcentral is "HSALNT0398309". The record is from RNAcentral. Lineage: Eukaryota; Metazoa; Chordata; Mammalia; Primates; Hominidae.
AGUCCGGGUGGUUUCUUCCGACCGACCGUCAGCACUCGACAAAUAACUGAGCAGCUGCUGGGGCCGGGAACACCGCGGGGACAGGUCAGAGCUGACCCUGAGCGACUCUACUGCCUCUCCCCGCCACGCCCACCUGCCCCCUGCGGGGUAGGACCCCGCAACCACCACUCCAGAGUCCUCUGCAGGGACUGCUGUUGCUACGGGAGAGGAAGCCAGAGGAAGGGGACGCCAUCUGGGGGAUGCUUGGGCCGUGGUGGCUGCAGAAGCAGCAGCAGCAGUGACGGCCACCGCCGCCAACCAGGGGCUUCUCCCUGGCCAGCGCAGCCACCUGGGCUCCGGGCAGCAGCAUUUUCCACGUGGCUCCUCCAAUCCUCACGAGACAGCAGCUCCCUGCAUUGCUAAUGCUCUCUGUAGGUCUGACGAUUUCCAAAAUAAGCUGGGGAAAAAGGUGUUAAGAAAAUGCAGGCGGCAUCCACUUCUAGUCAGAAGGUAGAAAAGUUACAAAAGACUGUCUCGCCCUAAAGAUGAAAACAAGCCAAACAAGCAACAAAAUCAAAGGUAAAGCCAUCUGAGAGCUGGCAAUGCAAAGGGACCUAAAUUAAUCAAAAUGCAGACAGGACGAGCCCUUCCUUGGGGAAGGAGCCCACAGCUUUCACCCUGGUGCGAGGCAGCAGGGCGGGAUGCCCUGCGUGAGGGGAAAUGAGUGGAAGUUCAU